AUUGAACGCUGGCGGCACGCUUAACACAUGCAAGUCGAACGGCAGCAUAAUAAGAGCUUGCUCUUAUUGAUGGCGAGUGGCGAACGGGUGAGUAACGCGUAGGAAUAUGCCUUAAAGUGGGGGAUAACCCGAGGAAACUCGAGCUAAUACCGCAUAAGCUCUACGGAGUAAAGCUAGGGACUUUCGAGCCUGGCGCUUUAAGAAUAGCCUGCGUCUGAUUAGCUAGUUGGUGGGGUAAAGGCUUACCAAGGCGAUGAUCGGUAGCUGGUCUGAGAGGAUGGACAGCCACACUGGGACUGAGACACGGCCCAGACUCCUACGGGAGGCAGCAGUGGGGAAUAUUGGACAAUGGGGGGAACCCUGAUCCAGCGAUGCCGCGUGUGUGAAGAAGGCCUGAGGGUUGUAAAGCACUUUUAGUGGGGAGGAACGGGUUUAGGUUAAGAGCUAGAACCUUUGACGUUACCCACCAUAAACAGCACCGGCUAACUCCGUG
This 493-nucleotide ribosomal RNA is filed under the name uncultured bacterium. RNAcentral's name for it is "bacterial SSU rRNA". It matches the Rfam family "Bacterial small subunit ribosomal RNA", at positions 30 to 507 of the family's 1533-position model. The record is from RNAcentral.